RNAcentral lists this transfer RNA (71 nucleotides) under Carpilius convexus. RNAcentral describes it as "tRNA-Cys". It matches the Rfam family "tRNA". From Rfam's summary of the family: Transfer RNA (tRNA) molecules are approximately 80 nucleotides in length. Their secondary structure includes four short double-helical elements and three loops (D, anti-codon, and T loops). The record is from RNAcentral. Lineage: Eukaryota; Metazoa; Arthropoda; Malacostraca; Decapoda; Carpiliidae.
GGUUCUAUAGUAAAAUUUAUAACGUUAGAUUGCAAAUCUGAAGAUGUGUUGGAAGAGUAACACUAGAACUU